Long non-coding RNA from Galeopterus variegatus (Sunda flying lemur), 1431 nucleotides. RefSeq lists it as uncharacterized. NCBI's taxonomy places the organism in Eukaryota, Metazoa, Chordata, Mammalia, Dermoptera, Cynocephalidae. The record is from RefSeq and is a predicted model, not a curated record. The transcript has 3 exons.
UGCCUAACUCAUAAGGAUUUUAUCUUAUAUUUCUAAGGUUUUUCUUUUAGAAUUUUUAGUUUUAAGUUUUAUUUAAGCCUAUGAGCCAUUGUGAGUUAAUUUUUCUAAAUAGUAGGAGGGAAGGAUUGAGAUUCAUCCUGUUUUUGCACAUGCCGUUCAAUUGCACCAUUUGUUCAAAACUUUCCUUUCCCGCCUAGAGGAUUCACUGAAUCCCCUUGGCAACUUCAAUGAACAUCAGUUGACUAUAUAUGUGUGAGUCUAUUUUUGAAGUCUGAUAUCUACUUUUAAAAUGUGAUAAAUGAUGUGCCAAUUUGCCCUCCAAAAAAGGCAACUUAUCCUCCCACCAGAAGUGUGUGACAGCGACUUUACAGCUGAAUCUCAGGAACAGAACUGGGGUGCCGCGCUGCAGUCCCUUACCUCGGCCCAAACACAACUCUUCUUAAAGUCUCCUGAGCUGAUAUCGCCUCACGCCUUGGUCGCAGGUAGCUUACAAACUACUGUUUGCAACGGAAAACUCUUUACGACUAAGUCAAUUCACUUUACCGCGUAGGAUCCUGCAAGGCAGCUGCUCUGUUGUACAAACCUCGGGCCGGGGCGGGCUUUCUUCGCUGCGGGACACGCGUCCUCGGUCACUUCGUCUGUCUGAGAGAAGACCGCCUAAUUCACCGAGAUCAUUCAGGCGAGUCCACCUCCUGCCCUUCCUUCCCCACCAACGCCACAACCCCAUCCUGGAGACGUCUGAAAAACCAGCGCAGGUCCCGGCCAUCCAAGCGCUCAGCCUUCCAGGAGGCCUCCUUGGACCCCGCUGAAAUGGCGGAAACCUCUGCCUGCGUCCUCUCCAAAGAUUCCCAGAAGCCGCCGUCCGAAGCAGCCUAUUCGAAAAUAAUUCCCAAAGCUGAGGCUCAGGGACAGGAAAUGUCCACUGAAAGAGUAAAAACCUAUCUAGAUGGAAAUAAAGGAAAUCUCCGAUUGAAAAACUAACACCAAAACCCAUCAACCAAACAAACCAAAAAACACCCAACGUUGCUGAUUUCAGGCUGGGAGGACCGACACAGAUGAGUCAGGUGCAAAAUUAACAGGAAACACUGUUUUCUUCCAAAUAAUGCAGCAGCUGUAACUGUCACAGCAAUCACCUGUUUGAGUGAUUACCACCUUCUUAGGACGCCCAGAUCCGCUUUGUCACACCCUUCUAUUACUGGGGAUACCUAAAACCACCCUCUCCUCAUGACAAUGCCCAAUCCUUACUUAAACACCCCUGCUGCUACUCCAGACCUGAUCCCCGCUUAUUUUAGAGUCUCCUCGGAAUCCUUUAAAGGAACGCAAACCUUAGGAAAGAUACUUCUCUCCCUCCUCUCGCUGAGCGGCAUUUCCUGGUUAUUAUGGAGCAUCUCCUCACUUCAGUGAUUCAAUAAAUUUGAUUUUGUCAGACUG